GCGCAGCAGGCGAGAAACCUCCGCAAUACACGAAAGCGUGACGGGGCCAUCCCGAGUGCCGUCCGCUGAGGACGGCUUUUCCCCACGUGUACAUAGCUGGGGGAAGUAAGGAGAGGGCAAGCCUGGUGUCAGCCGCCGCGGUAAUACCAGCUCUCCGAGUGGUGGGGACGCUUAUUGGGCCUAAAGCAUCCGUAGCCGGCUGGGCAAGUCCUCCGUUAAAUCCAACGAUUCAAUCGUUGGGCUGCGGGGGGAUACUGUCCAGCUUGGGGGCGGGGAGAGGCCGACGGUAUUCCCGGGGUAGGGGUGAAAUCCUAUAAUCCCGGGAGGACCACCAGUGGCGAAGGCUGUCGGCUAGAACGCGCCCGACGGUGAGGGAUGAAAGCUGGGGGAGCGAACCGGAUUAGAUACCCGUGUAGU
This 417-nucleotide ribosomal RNA is filed under the name uncultured microorganism. RNAcentral's name for it is "bacterial SSU rRNA". It matches the Rfam family "Archaeal small subunit ribosomal RNA", at positions 330 to 745 of the family's 1478-position model. The record is from RNAcentral.